AGUGUUAUAUACCUGGCUCUUUUUCACUCAAUAAUACAUUCUAGAAAUCUUUUCAUAUAGAGAGUUGCUUCAUUCUUUUUCAUUAGCUGUUUGCCAUUUAGGUUUCUGUAGAGAAAUUUUUAAGUCUGCCAGAUAUUCGUGGGGUUAUUACCCCUACCAUCAAUACAUGAAAUUGAUUCUUUCUCCACAGUCUUGACAAAGACUAUGUUGUUAUAUUUAGGAAUCUUUGCCUAUCUGAUUGGUGAAAUGUUAUCAGUGUAGUUUUAAUUUUCCUUUCCCUAAGAUAGGACAUAAUUGAGUUUCAGAGAGAUAGGUCAAAUUUAAGAGGCUAUGGAAUAAGUGAAUGGCAAGGAAGAGAAUGAAGGAAAUAGUAAUAGCCCAAAGGAACUGAAAUCUGACUGUAUUAAAAGGAAUUAGCUUGCUGACUAAUAGCGUGUGGGUUUAAUGAAGGUGUUUUUAAAUAGUAGGGACUUAUCUAGACCUGCUUAAAAUGAUAAUGAAAUAAGUCACUAGAAAAGGAGAGAUUGAAAAUUGUAGAGUUUGAGGGCAAAGUCACACAGGAGGCAGAAAGAAAUGGUAUCUCUGGCAGUUGGGAUGGAUAGGAGCUAAGUGGUGGGUGUGAACACUGAAGGACAGAAGGUUGUGGGUGGGGAGCAGAUGGCAGGCACCUUCUAAAGGCAGAGGAGGAGGAGGACUUUUGGAACAAGAAUUAAAAAGAGAAGGAUUAGAUUCACCAGUGGGAGGAGAAAAGCACAGGCCGCAGAUGCUGCAUCACUCACAGGCGUGGGGAUUCCUGCCUGCCAGAUCCCAGGGAUGCAGAUAAAAAGCGAAUGUUUGCUGCAUGAUUCAUACACGUGGAUAUUGAUUGAUUCAAUAUUUACUGGGCAUCUACUCUGUCAGGCACAUUGAUGUCACUCAGGAUUAACUGAGACAUGAGAUAGAGUGGAAGGCUACAAGCCAGAUGACAGAUGUAUGCUAGAUGUAUGUAUGAGGGAUUAGGAGUUGUAUAGAUGAUGGUGACAAGGGGAGAUAAGGGGUACGAGAGCCAGAUAGUUUGUUCCUUAUUGUGCCUUGUACCUCAAAGGAGAUGUGGUUUUAGAAACCUGUAGUAGAAAUACAUCAGUGUGCUUGAAAUUGGUAGAGGCAAUCUAUGGGAUACCGCCACAGUCUUUGGACUCAGGAGAAUAAGAACUCUGAUCUUGAUAAGGAAGCAGUAUCUGAAAAGAAUGAGAUAUGGGAGACAGCCCGAAGAUAGAAAGGGUGUUCUGGGAAGAGUUGAGAUAUAUUUAGUUUCAGAGGUACUGUGGAAACACUAGGAAGAGGAUGGGUCUCAGGGAAAAGGAUCACUGAGCAGUAGGAAGAUGACAGCGGAGGUGAAAAUUCUUCAUUUGAGCAGUGACCAAGAAUGACCUGAACGUAAGGCAGGAAGGAAUUAGCUGGUUUCACUUGUUCUAAGAGGAAUGCUGGUAUACUUUUUUUUUUAAGUUUAUUGCAGAAAAUUUCAAAUAGACACAAAAUAGAACAGUAUGGUGAACUCCUGUGUAUCCUUCACUAACAUCAACAAUGAUCAAUACUUUGCCAAUCUUGUUCAGUAAUCCCUGCCCCUACUUCCCACUUUCAUUUAUUCCUGAAGUAUUUUAAAGUUCCAGACAUUUUACUGUUUGACUUGUUAGCAUGUACGGAUUUUUUCUUCCUUUAAACAUAACCAUGAGGUCAUUGUCACAAUGAGAGGUGACAGCGUGCUGGCAGUCUUCACAGCCCUCGCUGGCUCUCAGCGCCUCCUCUGCCUGGGCUCCCACUUUGGCCGCACUUGAAGAGCCCUUCAGCUCACCGCUGCACUGUGGGAGCCCCUUUCUGGGCUGGACAAGGCCAGAGCCGGCUCCCUCAGCUUGAGAGGCGCGAGCGGGAACCGGGGCUGCGCGCGGCGCUUGCGGGCCAGCUAGAGUUCCGGUUGGGAGUGGGCUUGGCGGGCCCCGUACUCGGAGCAGCCGGCCGGCCCUGCCGGCCCGGGCAAUGAGGGGCUUAACACCCAGGCCAGCGGCUGCGGAAGGUGUACUGGGUCCCCCAGCAGUGCCAGCCCACCGGCGCUGCGCUCGAUUUCUCACCCGGCCUUAGCUGCCUUCCCGAGGGGCAGGGCUCGGGACCUGCAGCCCGUCAUGGCUGAGCCUUCCACCACCUCCAUGGGCUCCUGUGAGGCCCGAGCCUCCCCGACGAGCGCCACCCCCUGCUCCACGGCGCCCAGUCCCAUCGACCACCCAAGGGCUGAGAAGUGCGGGCGCACGGCGCGGGACUGGCAGGCAGCUCCACCUGCAGCCCCGGUGCAGGAUCCACUGGGUGAAGCCAUCUGGGCUCCUGAGUCUGAUCUGCUAGGAUCCAGCUUAAGAGAUCCAGUACUGGAGUCGGCAGAACUGGAGUAAAAUCCUGGUCCUUGUGCGCUGCUGCCCAGAGAGAGAGUGAAGCUACUGGCUCCUGUAAGGAAGAAUGACCAACUGGCAGACGGGCAGGGGGAGCCAGGAACCAGCUCGUGCCCAUAGAGAGAAAGAGUUAAGCUGCUAACUCUGAAAGCAAGGGAGAGCCAGCCCUGCAGCUGUGUGUGGGAGCAGCUGGCCCAAGCAGCCGGCUCAAGCAGCCGAGACAGGGUGGACAGUGUGAGAGACCUGGUGUAAGUAAGCUAUGUGAGUAAGCUGCUGAUGAGAGCUGCUGCUGAAUAAAAUCAUCUUUCACCUGCCUACGUCCCCCACAAGUGUUCUGUUAGCUAUUUGCCCAGGGACCCACUCCCUUGUACCUCAGCAUGGGCUGGACCCAAACCCUAAACCUAACAAUUGGCAAUGAGAAUGGGAUGAGGUGAGUAGGUCUUCAGCCUGUGAGGGUUCCUGGGUUGGCUAUGUGGCUGCAGCAUGGGCUAUGGUACCCAGUGGCAGCUGUGCUGCGAGGAUGGGCUUCAGUGGAAACACGGGAGGCAGCGGAUGGGUCCCCCGCAAGUGUGGAGAAGGCGCUGAAGCACCUGGAAGUGCACAGCACUGAGAUGCAGCAUGCUUUUACCACCAGAGUCACACGGAUGUUUGUGACUUUGCUGCAGGAAGUGCCUGCCCAGUCCCUGCGGGAUGCACGCAGGGAGGAAGAACCUCUGUUACAGGCUCACCCAAUGGUCUGCCAGAAAAUAGAGCAUGAGCAACCGUUGGGCCCCAAGGGUGGGCCAGAGACCCCCUACUGUGGUGGAGCACACUUCCUAUGGUGUCUGUGCCCCUGCUAAGUUGCAGGAGUUAAGCAAGUAAUGUUGGCAGUCGUGUACAGACUUGGUGCAAGUCAUUCGGGAGAAGGAUCUUGCUGCGCAACCUGGUCCUGCCGGAGUGUUCCAGUGCAAAGAGUACCUGCUGCAGUUGGUGGAAGUGUAAAGCCUUUUGUGUUUGAUAAGAGAACUGGCCAAGGUGCCUGGCUUGGUAGGGGACACCAGACAACCAAAGGCCAUGUAUGGACUUGGCAAUCCACUGGUCCCUGGACCCGGACAAGUUUCCAGGCAAGGCUGAAUAGACAGCUAUGAAAGCUGGUCAGUGAAAGUGAAACCUGUGUCUUUGCACCUGGGCAUCGGCUGCUUGGCUCUCCACUUAUGCACUGUGUAUGUCUCUUGCAUGCCUGAGGACAUUCUUGGGGGUGGAUGUUUUGCAAGACUUGACAGCUGUGCCACCUGUCAUGGACUUGAUGGACCGUUUGACAACAGAACUGGGAUGGUGCCACUGUGUGGUGGACUUGACCAAUGCAUUCCUCUCAACCAGCAUUGCUCCAGAGAGCCAGGGACAGUUUACCUUCAUGGGAGGGCGACAAUGGACUUUCACAGUGUUGCUGCAGGGCUAUAUGUAUAGCCCCAUUAUAUAUCAUUUUCUUAUUAAUGAUGUUAUGUUAACCUCUAGUUCUCUUGCUGGUUUGGAAGUGGCAACACCCCUCUUGCCUGGGAUUGGGAUGAUGAGGCUGAAACAGCCCUUCUGAUGACAUAAACCCUGUGGGUAGUUAACCGGGGGUGCCCAUUUAAACUAGAUGUGCAUGUAACCACAAAUAGAGUUGGCUAGGGCCUAUGGCAGUAUAUGGAGUGCUUGGAAGUGCCAGUCAGCUUUUAGUCCCAGCUAUGAAAGGGAGCUGAGCCCCAGUGUUCAUUAAUAAAGAAGCAGUUAAUAACCAUAUAUGCCGCCCUUCAGGUUCAUAAGAGCGUGGCCAGACGGGUUACAGCCGUGCAGAUGGCUUACCCAAUAGUGGGAUGGGUGCGUUCAUGAGCAACGACCCCCCAGACUGGGACAGCACAGACAUCCACUUUAGCGAAGCGGGGCACCUACUUAGAGCAGUGGAGUACGCUAAGUAUAAGUCCCUUAGCAGCAGAGUUGCAAGAGGUCUUGGGACCUGUAGUCCUAAUGCAAGAUAAGGCCAUGGGGCCUGAGGCACCCGUAGACCCUGAGCCUUCACUGUUAGAAAGGGUGUUCUUGUAUUCCUAAUAGGACAUGGUACACAGCUAUGUCUAGUUGGGGUGCCACUGCUGCCUGGACUGCUGGUGCAGUCCAGCCUGGUACUGACACCAUAUGGUUUGAAACCAGGUGUAGACAGAGGGGCAGUCAGGAUUAUCAAUAUCACUGUUUUACAGCUUCACAUCUUAGCUGACUGGAAAGUCUUCCAGGAGCAGUAAUAAUACAUGGAGCUGUCAUCUCCUAUGAUAACAAUGCCUUCUUCUGGAAUACCUUCUGUAGGAGCUGCCUGAGGCUGUUUUACAGUUAACUUUUUUUUAAUAAGUAGAAGUACACUCUAAAAUAUUAAAUUGGUGCAAAAGUAAUUGCAGUUUUUGCCAUUGCAAUUACUUUUGCACCAACCUAAUAACAAUAAAAAGUAUGGUAAAUACACAAACCAGUGACAUAGUACUUUCCUA
This is an RNA transcript of Pongo pygmaeus (Bornean orangutan), 4906 nucleotides long. RefSeq lists it as uncharacterized. NCBI's taxonomy places the organism in Eukaryota, Metazoa, Chordata, Mammalia, Primates, Hominidae. The transcript has 3 exons. The record is from RefSeq and is a predicted model, not a curated record.